UGUAGACAAAGUUUCUGUGUUUAUUAAUAAACUAUUAUUAUUAGCUAUUAGGCCUACUUGAAGUAUAGCAUACUCUUAUGUGCAAUAGUACUAUAUUUCUGUUUGAAUUGCUUCAAGUUAUACCGAAAUUCUAUUUUGACAGGUUGUCGUAAAGACAUUGCCGUUUCUGUCAGUCUGUGUAUAUGAUACGAAUGAAUGACGAUAGUUUUAUCAAAUGAAAUGGUGAAAUCCUCUCAUAGCGCGCUGACGUGCACAUGUGUAGCAUACAUCAUGCGUCAAUAUAUGAAACCGCAAACAUGAGGUGCGAGCGGUCGCGAGCGCGGAUGGGAGAAUGGAGGAAGUUUUUUUGUUUGUUUGAGCAACUGGGGUGGUGCCCCCUCUGGGAGUUGGUGCCCUACUCUGCGUGUAGGGAGCGACGUAUUUGAAAGAGCUGAAGCUCCCGAGAGCUGACCCUACUGCUGUCCGCUACGUGCUCCAGCGUAUCCUCAACCAAUGACAGGACCUGUGGCCCAGGGGAGCAGACGUGCGGAAGGAAGAGCUGGAUGAUAUGGUGGAUAAGGAAAUGGCUGCGACUUCCUCUGCCAUUGAAGAUGCUGUGCUGAGAAUGGAUGAAAUAUUGAGCCAGGUAAUAAGAGAUUCAUCUGGAGUGAAGCUGGAAGUUAACCAAUGGCUAUACACAUCCUGGUGACAGCUGCUACUGAUCUGCAGAGAGACAUUGUGGAAAGUGGCUGGGUAUGAUUUGGUAACAGUGGUCAUUUUAGAUAGUUUUUUAUAAAUCUUAUGUAUUCGCACACUCAAAUGCAGGGUUUGUAAUCAUUUCUGUCAGGGCGCUGGUUCUGUCAAGGACUUCUAUGUUAAAAAUUCAUGUUGGACAGAGGGUCUCAUUUGGCAUCAAAGGCUGUCGGAUGGGGUGCAACGCAGAUGCUGUGAGUGUGUCGAAUAUUUCAAGCUUUAGCCUGGAUUUAUUGAGUGUCAGUCCCUGUAAUUGUGAUUUAUUAUCUCACAAAGUGACUCCGCGGACAAAGUUUUGACUACAAAAUGGGAGGACUUAUUAUGUUGUGAAAUUUAUGCAUAAUUUUUUAAACAUCUGUUUUUUUUUACGCUGCAACAACAAAUUAAAAACAUUUUGGAAAUCCAUUCAAAAACCAUCAAAAUACUCCAUGAAAUCUCGUUUAUAAGAAAACAGUUGCACUCUCUCUCCUUGGUCUUUAAAUAUGACUGAUAUUGACAAAAAUAUCAAAUGUAGCUCUCAAAGGGAAAUAUGCAAUUUUUGUAAAUAUAAUUCAAAUCUGACUAAUUUUCUAAUCGUUUGUUAUAAAUAAACAUCUCAGAAAAAUGUUAUGGGGUUUCAGAUCGAAUUAGGACUUUUUGUUACGAAACAGGGUAUCAUUUUCAUUACAGGUCUUCUGUAAAGGACAACAGGACAGGACAAACAUCACGUUAAUCUGGGAUUUUGCAAAUUAAUGUGCAAAUUAGAUGCAAAGUAUAGAUCCAUUGUAUAGAGUGGGAAUACCAAUUUAUGGACAUUUUAUGCACAUAUUCCAUCAAGUACGGUAUUAUAUAAAAUCAUUCUGUUAUAUAACAUAUUUGAGAA
This is a long non-coding RNA of Carassius gibelio (silver crucian carp), 1594 nucleotides long. RefSeq lists it as uncharacterized. The record is from RefSeq and is a predicted model, not a curated record. The transcript is spliced from 5 exons. NCBI's taxonomy places the organism in Eukaryota, Metazoa, Chordata, Actinopteri, Cypriniformes, Cyprinidae.